AAAAUCAUUAGUUGCCCUAGAUUGACUGAACCUCUGUUCCCAAAAUCAAUCACAGCUUCAUCCUUGUGGCCUUUGUCUUCGGAAAGAUCGACUAAGUUCGUGAGAAUGAGCUAUGUAUGAUCCACCCAUACUGCCAUCCGAAGGGGUCCUGGGUGUAACUUAACGAUUUCUUGCUCAUUGUUGAUUUGGAUACGAAGUCUGAAGUGGUAUUCCAUCAGAGGUCUCUUCGCCGGCAAAUUCGUCGGGAUCUGUAAACAGAAAGAAUGUGCGAUCAGGUGGUAAUAAUUGAAUAGCAAGAUUGGUGGCGGUUGUGGUGGUUUCCUGGUGGAAUUGAUGGAGAAGUUUCUGUAACUACUCAUCAUCACUGCUCUCUCACCUUAACAUUAAGUUUCUCUCUCUAUCUUUAUAAUUUUGCUUCUGGGUUGUCUUCUAUGGUAAAAACGGAAGCAAAAUUGGAGUGUUCAAACAACAAGUAACUCUGUGUUUGCCUGAAUUGAGAAAACUGGUCGACAUUUACUAAUGUUCGGUCGACAGAAUUGAGAAAACCGGUCGACAUCUACUAAAUUUACGUCGACCGAAUUGAUUGAACCGUUCCUUCUCAUUUAAGUUUUCUAUUUUUUCUUCAUCUGUUCUCUAUUUCUCUCUCUCUCUCUAUGGCGACUUAGGGCUUCUCUCCUUCCAUUCGCUCUCAAUUCAAUUCAGGUAAGUGUGUAUGCGAACCACCAUUUUAAAAGUUCAAUUUCUAUUCUAUUA
Molecule: long non-coding RNA, 753 nt
Organism: Cornus florida
Lineage: Eukaryota; Viridiplantae; Streptophyta; Magnoliopsida; Cornales; Cornaceae
Exons: 2
Source: RefSeq, a predicted model, not a curated record